UAUACUAAAGGAUUAAAUCAUAUAAAUAAUAGGUUAAAAAGGCAGUUAAAUAAUAACGACAAGUAUAUUAAUCAUCUAUAUAAAAGUGAAAUUUGAAUAUAAACUGAUAAUUUAGUAAUUACUGUCAGAUUGAGUCUGCGAUAGCCUUGAGGGAAACUGGGAUUAGAUACCCCAUUAUUCUUGGUUGUAAAUGAAUUAAAUUUACCAGAGUACUAUGAAUUCAUAUUAAAAUUUAAAACUCAAAGGGCUUGGCGGUGUUUUAGACUCUUCAGGGGAACCUGUCUCAUAAUCGACAAUCCACGUUAAACCUAACCUCUUUUAGUAAAUCAGUUUGUAUACCGUCGUCGGCAGGUAACUUUUAAAAAACUAAAAGUUAGCAACAAAACUAUCCAUGAGUUAAAACGUCAGAUCAAGGUGCAGCCAAUAAAGGGGUGAGGAUGGGUUACAAUUAUAACUUAUAACUACGGAGGAAUAGGGGAAUGACUAUUCAUGAAGGAGGACUUGAAAGUAAAAUAAACUAUAUAAACAUUUUGAAUACAGCUCUGAAACGUGC
RNAcentral lists this ribosomal RNA (553 nucleotides) under Calliotectum sp. MNHN-IM-2013-50202. RNAcentral describes it as "partial 12S ribosomal RNA". The record is from RNAcentral. Lineage: Eukaryota; Metazoa; Mollusca; Gastropoda; Neogastropoda; Volutidae.